This 527-nucleotide ribosomal RNA is filed under the name Pastinachus ater (banana tail ray). Its description in RNAcentral is "partial 16S ribosomal RNA". It matches the Rfam family "Bacterial large subunit ribosomal RNA", at positions 1850 to 2568 of the family's 2925-position model. Lineage: Eukaryota; Metazoa; Chordata; Chondrichthyes; Myliobatiformes; Dasyatidae. The record is from RNAcentral.
AGGUCCCGCCUGCCCUGUGAUUUUUUUAACGGCCGCGGUAUCUUGACCGUGCGAAGGUAGCGUAAUCACUUGUCUUUUAAUUGAAGUCCCGUAUGAAAGGCAUUACGAGAGUUUAUCUGUCUCUAUUUUCCAAUCAAUGAAAUUGAUCUUCUCGUGCAGAGACGAGAAUAAAACCAUAAGACGAGAAGACCCUAUGGAGCUUCAAACACUUAAGUUAAGUUUUUAAAAUACUAAAUCUCCCCCGGGUAUAAACAUAAAUUAACCCCUAACUUAACUUGUUUUCGGUUGGGGCGACCAAGGGGAAAAACAAAACCCCCUUAUCGAAUGUGUGAGAUAUCACUCAAAAAUUAGAAUUACAAUUCUAAUUAAUAGAAAAUCUAACGAACAAUGACCCAGGAACCUUCCUGAUCAAUGAACCAAGUUACCCUAGGGAUAACAGCGCAAUCCUUUCCUAGAGCCCCCAUCGCCGAAAGGGUUUACGACCUCGAUGUUGGAUCAGGACAUCCUAAUGGUGUAGCCGCUAUUAA